CCUACGGGAGGCAGCAGUAGGGAAUAUUGCUCAAUGGGGGAAACCCUGAAGCAGCAACGCCGCGUGGAGGAUGAAGGUUUUAGGAGUGUAAACUCCUUUUGAUAGAGAAGAGGAGGACGGUAUGUAACGAAUAAGCACCGGCUAACUCCGUGCCAGCAGCCGCGGUAAUACGGAGGGUGCAAGCGUUACUCGGAACCACUGGGCGUAAAGAGGGCGUAGGCGGGGUAAUAAGUCAGAUGUGAAAUCCUGUAGCUUAACGACAGAACUGCAUUUGAAACUGUUACUCUGGAGUGUGGGAGAGGUAGGUGGAAUUCUUGGUGUAGCGGUCAAAUCCGUAGAGAUCACGAGGAAUACUCAUUGCGAAGGCGACCUGCUGGACCAUUACUGACGCUGAUGCACGAAAGCGUGGGGAGCAAACAGGAUUAGAUACCCUUGUAGUC
Molecule: ribosomal RNA, 440 nt
Filed under: uncultured bacterium
Lineage: Bacteria
Description: partial 16S ribosomal RNA
Rfam family: Bacterial small subunit ribosomal RNA
Source: RNAcentral